Molecule: long non-coding RNA, 1528 nt
Filed under: Apteryx owenii (little spotted kiwi)
Lineage: Eukaryota; Metazoa; Chordata; Aves; Apterygiformes; Apterygidae
Description: lncRNA (ENSAOWG00000008773.1)
Source: RNAcentral
CGCACAGCCACCGCCAGAGCCCCUUGGCCCCUUUUUCUGCCCCCCACCCCCCAAUAUCUCCUCUUGGCAUUAGCACUGCCCCAGCACCCGGUUGCAUCUCUAAUUUCUCAUGCAAGAGGCGGUUUUGCGAAAAUGGAGUUUGCUGCCUGCAUGGUCACUGAUUGCCCAAGGAAACCUCCUGCCUGUGUAAAGGUUACUCCAGUGCUAGAAACCCAGCGGAGUCUCCCGCAGUUAAUAUUGCACUUGCUGCGCAUCCACCUCCCCAGACGUGUCUGGGCGAUGGCCUGUGCAAAGGCCAUUUUGAAGAAGUAACACCAGCUUUUCAGAUAGCAGGAGUGUAUUUCCGAUUAAGCCAGGAGCCCCAAGUCCCACCUGUGGCAAGUGCUUGGGGGCCCCUUGGUCCGUGAGUCCCCAAACACGCGCCGGCACGGUGAAACUUCCAGUGCGUGACAAAUAAAGGCGGUUUGCGGCCCCAGCAGGCGUCUCUCUGCAAGCUCCCCUCUUACCUCGGCAUCGCAUCAGUGGGCGUCAGAAAAGCCCCCCGCUGAGGUCACACUUCGGGGCCAGGGUGGGGGGGGGGGGAAUGACACACAGCACGGUUAUGGCCACGCACUCCCCCCAGCCGCCGGGGCCAUGGGGGAGAGGGGAGGUGAGGGGCCAGGGGCGCGCCGGCGGGGAUAGAGACCCUUCCCUGCACUGGUGGCGCUGGUUUCUCCGAGGGGAACCGCAGUCCUGGGGACAGGGAUGGGCUGCCUGGCUGCCCCGGGGAAGGGCUGGGGGCCAGCUGUUCCCUGAGGGAGGAAUAAAGCCAACAGCAAAAGGAGGAUUUACUGGUCACUCUUGUGCUGUUCUGCUCCCAGGGACCUGGAAACUCGGCUUUUGCUGUGCCAGUUGCCCUGCGACUGAGUCAUCCAUAAGUAUCAAUAUAAACAAAGCUGAGCCAGAAGUGCCUAAAGAGGAGCCAGAUGAAAUAAGACAGGUGCAAGCAGCGUGCGUGGAAACCCUGGUGGCGGGCAGUUCCUCACUGCUAUGCGUGGACGCCCAGGUGCAAACUUCCAGUCCCAAACUGCAGAAGACGCCUCCUGCGCUCUCACUAGUGGUGGCUCAGGUGCAAACCUCAGCACUCGCAGUCACAGAAGAGGAAGGUGAUCUUCCUUCGUAUGCGGAGGCUGAGGUACAGACAUCCGAGCUGACGACAUUGGAAGCAGAGGAUAUUCUUCCUUCUCCUUCACACAGCAAGGCUCAUUUGGGCUCCUCCUGCCCGGAAACACCAGAGGCGCAGGACACAGCAGCCCCCGCAGAAAUCAUGCCCACGCCUCCAGAGCUAACAGACGCCGAGACACAAACUUCUCAUGCUGAAAUACCUCUGGGGAAGAAACGGCGCUCCUCGCAAUUACAGGUUGAGGCUCAAGUACAAACCUCCAGACUGGAUUUUCCGGGAGCAGAGGAGGUGCCUCCGUGUGCCUCUCAGACAGAUGUGCAGAAACAAUCCUCCAUGCCCGAAUUACCACAGAGUAAGGUGCCUCUC